AUGCUUUGUGCCAUUUAUUGUGCUGGUGAGCCACGGUUAAAUAAGCUGCAGCCUCCGUCCUUGAAAAGCUCGCUGGCUAAGAGAGACAGUGACAAGCGGGAAGUGAAAUGCCAUGGGAUGGUCUUGGCUCUUCAGGAUUUAUAUUCCUAUUCGUUAUCUGGAAAAAAAAGGAUAAUCAUGGAUCAAGGGCUGCUCUACACAAUUGUUGCUGUGGCUGUCUAUGAAGAUGUCAUUAUAGGACACAAAGUCCAUGCAGCUGGCUUCACAAUAAAGUGGAAUUCUUUGCAGAAAACUGAUGAGCUGCCAGCUUCUAGAUCCAAGAAUGGACUUUCCUCUUCCUUGCCUUCUAUGAUGAAUGUGAGGCUUCCCCAGCCAUGUGGAACUAUUCUAAAAACUGCCCACAUUCCUUGGCUCAUGGCCCCCUUAACUCUUCAAGGCCAGCGAUGGCCACUAGAGUCCCACAUCACUGGCAUACUGACAUCCAGAUUUAAACGCUGCAGCACAGCACCCUGCACAAGGAGAAGGCUGACACAGAGCUUCUAUUUUUAUAUGUUUAGUGAUAUAUCCAAGUGUCACUCAACAACAACAGGAAAGGAGCGACCGAGCUGA
Long non-coding RNA from Callithrix jacchus (white-tufted-ear marmoset), 609 nucleotides. Lineage: Eukaryota; Metazoa; Chordata; Mammalia; Primates; Cebidae. The record is from Ensembl.